GAUGAACGCUGGCGGGCGUGCCUCAAACAUGCAAGUCGGAGCGGGGCUAUGUAAUAUCGCAAGGUAGAACAUAGCCUAGCGGCGAACGGGUGGAGUAACACGUGGGUAACCUGCCUGGAAGACAGGGAUAACGAUUCGAAAGGGUCGCUAAUACCUGAUAAUAUCCUUUCAUCGCAUGGUGAUAGGAAGAAAGGGGAAACCCGCUUUCAGAUGGGCCCGCGUCCCAUCAGCUAGUUGGUAAGGUAAAGGCUUACCAAGGCGACGACGGGUAGCCGGUCUGAGAGGAUGUACGGCCACACUGGGACUGAGAUACGGCCCAGACUCCUACGGGAGGCAGCAGUUGGGAAUCUUAGGCAAUGGACGAAAGUCUGACCUAGCGACGCCGCGUGAGGGAAGAAGGCCUUCGGGUUGUAAACCUCUGUCAUGGGGGAAGAAGUAAGUGACGGUACCCCAAGAGGAAGCCCCUGCUAACUACGUG
Molecule: ribosomal RNA, 478 nt
Filed under: uncultured bacterium
Lineage: Bacteria
Description: bacterial SSU rRNA
Rfam family: Bacterial small subunit ribosomal RNA
Source: RNAcentral